This 253-nucleotide ribosomal RNA is filed under the name uncultured bacterium. RNAcentral's name for it is "partial 16S ribosomal RNA". It matches the Rfam family "Bacterial small subunit ribosomal RNA", at positions 524 to 776 of the family's 1533-position model. The record is from RNAcentral.
UACGUAGGGUGCGAGCGUUAAUCGGAAUUACUGGGCGUAAAGUGUGCGCAGGCGGCCGAGCAAGUCGAGUGUGAAAGCCCCGGGCUUAACUUGGGAAUUGCGCUCGAAACUACUUGGCUGGAGUGUGGCAGAGGAAGGUGGAAUUCCAGGUGUAGCGGUGAAAUGCGUAGAGAUCUGGGGGAACACCGAUGGCGAAGGCAGCCUUCUGGGCCAACACUGACGCUCAUGCACGAAAGCGUGGGGAGCAAACAGG